CAGACGUAAGGAAUCGGGAAUUAAACUUGGAAUAUUGGUUAGUACAUUCAAAUGCGUUUCCUUAACGAAUAAGCUGAGGUUUGGUGUUAACUUUUAAAGCCAAAACGUGUUGUGUUGAGAUGUAUGGCACGGUGGCGUUGCCUGUUGAUAAUGUGAUUACAUUUAGUUUUUGUUUCAAAACAUUUCUUUUCCUACAGGCAGGACAAGCGUUUAGAAAGUUUCUUCCACUCUUUGACCGAGUAUUGGUUGAAAGGAGUGCUGCUGAAACUGUAACCAAAGGAGGCAUUAUGCUUCCAGAAAAAUCUCAAGGAAAAGUAUUGCAAGCAACAGUAGUCGCUGUUGGAUCGGGUUCCAAAGGAAAGGGUGGAGAGAUUCAACCAGUUAGCGUGAAAGUUGGAGAUAAAGUUCUUCUCCCAGAAUAUGGAGGCACCAAAGUAGUUCUAGAUGACAAGGUGUGUAAACUUAAUAAUUCUAAAAAGAAGUCAGAUAUUUGCGAUUAGUUGUCUUAACUAAUGGUUUCUUCAUUUGCAGGAUUAUUUCCUAUUUAGAGAUGGUGACAUUCUUGGAAAGUACGUAGACUGAAAUAAGUCACUAUUGAAAUGGCAUCAACAUGAAGCUGCCCAUUCCACUGAAGUUCUGAAAUCUUUCAUCAUGUAAAUAAUUUCCAUAUUUCUCUUUUAUAAUAAACUAAUGAUAACUAAUGA
This 704-nucleotide small RNA is filed under the name Pongo abelii (Sumatran orangutan). RNAcentral's name for it is "retained intron". The record is from RNAcentral. Lineage: Eukaryota; Metazoa; Chordata; Mammalia; Primates; Hominidae.